GGACCGUUCGGAGGAAAUGUCGUCGCUGGCGGUGUUGGUGCCAGUGGAAACGAUUUGGUUGAAGUGGUAGAAGUACCCGUUGGAGCGUCACCCGAAAUUGUCGAUGUCGGUCCGCUCGACAUUGAAGUGGUCGGGGCUCCCGUCGAACCGUCGCCCGAAUUUGUCGACGUCGGAUUGGAGGACGUCAGUAAAAUUAUUAAAUCGCUUUUCAAUACGAUGGACACAUAAACUUUUAAUUAAUUAUUGUUUUUUUUCCUCUCAUUGUGUAGCUUGCCGUCGUCGGAGUUCUAA
Long non-coding RNA from Daktulosphaira vitifoliae (grape phylloxera), 291 nucleotides. RefSeq lists it as uncharacterized. The record is from RefSeq and is a predicted model, not a curated record. NCBI's taxonomy places the organism in Eukaryota, Metazoa, Arthropoda, Insecta, Hemiptera, Phylloxeridae. The transcript is spliced from 3 exons.